Molecule: long non-coding RNA, 549 nt
Filed under: Gallus gallus (chicken)
Lineage: Eukaryota; Metazoa; Chordata; Aves; Galliformes; Phasianidae
Description: lncRNA (ENSGALG00010000347.1)
Source: RNAcentral
UUGCGGGUGCAACGCAGUCACCACAAUGAUGUCGAGGAUCAAUGCCGGGUAAUUCAGUGAGCGUUCCAACAAAGAAUCAAGGAAAAAACUGCCAGGCAAAGGAAAGAAACCUUCUGGCAACAGGUCUUUAACGUUACGCGUAGAGUCCUUUGGAACAGGAGUUGUUUCUGUGUCAAGAACUUGAAGAUCAAUUCAGGCAACGGCUACUAAAGAAAAACGAGUCACAUAACAUGGAGAGCAAAGAAGAGAAGAGAGAGGAAACAGAGAGGUGCCAACACUGCCACCCGGGGUGGGCAGCAGGCUGCUGGUGCCAGCGUCAUCAUGGGCGGCGGCCAGCACUGGCCACGCUGUCACCGCGUCGCCGUGGCGACGUUUGUGACACGGCCACCCGGGAGGGGUAUGAAGGCGGUGCACGCUGGUGGGUCCUGCAUCCUGAAGGAGCAUCUGGUAGAGAGCAGACGCACCUGAAGGGAUGAGCUCCGGCAUGGCUGGCGCCAACAAGGAGCAACCCGCUGGCACGAGGCGGAACAGGAUGAGCUUCUGCGAGGA